Homo sapiens (human) is the source of this 746-nucleotide long non-coding RNA. Lineage: Eukaryota; Metazoa; Chordata; Mammalia; Primates; Hominidae. The record is from Ensembl.
CAGGUGAGCGCCGGCUGGGCUUGAUGGGAGGCUGAAUCCCGUUCGUGGACCGCCGUUGCCUCUUCGCGGGAUCGUUGGCCACAAUAGCAGGAAACCUAUGGCCUGCAUCAAUGAAAUAGCCAAGAUCAACCAGAAAAAGAAUAUUGGUCUCCCAUCUGCAAGACUGGGGAAAAAAUUAGAAGACUGAGGGGAUGAGGAAGGAAAGAAAACAGCCUAAUGGAGAAGAUCCUCAAACCUCAGACCUGGAAGUGAGCCUGGGGCUUCCCUAGUCUACCCCUGCAUUGCACAGAUGGGGAGACUGAGGCCCUAAGAGGCGGAAGAACUGACUCAAGCUCACUCUGUGAGUUGAGGGUGGAACUGGAACUGAACUCAGACCCACACCUCCUGGCAAAGUGCUCAAUGCCCUCUGCCCGCGCAGCCCUCCUGCUCUCCUAACAAGCUAGAGACACUAAAAGCUGCCUCUCCAGGAGAAUCGCUUGAAUCCGGGAGGCAGAGGUUGCAGUGAGCCAAGAUCGUGCCACUGCACUUCAGCCUGGCGACAGAGCAAGACUCCGUUUCAAAAUACAUACAUACAUACAUGCAUACAUACAUACAUACAUACAUACAUACAUACAUACAUACAAAAGCUGCCUCUCUAACCCCCAGACAUUUUGAAUUCAUGUUUUUGCCACAAAGUGUUCUUGGAAUCAAAGAAUCAAUUCAUUAAUCUGGGUAAUUAGUUUAGGAACCAGAGGGCUUGGAGACUG